CAGCAGCCGCGGUAAUACGUAGGUGGCAAGCGUUGUCCGGAAUUAUUGGGCGUAAAGCGCGCGCAGGCGGUUUCUUAAGUCUGAUGUGAAAGCCCCCGGCUUAACCGGGGAGGGUCAUUGGAAACUGGGAAACUUGAGUGCAGAAGAGGAGAGUGGAAUUCCACGUGUAGCGGUGAAAUGCGUAGAGAUGUGGAGGAACACCAGUGGCGAAGGCGACUCUCUGGUCUGUAACUGACGCUGAGGAGCGAAAGCGUGGGGAGCGAACAAGAUUAGAUACCCGUGUAGUCCCUGUCUCUUAUAC
This 301-nucleotide ribosomal RNA is filed under the name uncultured bacterium. RNAcentral's name for it is "partial 16S ribosomal RNA". It matches the Rfam family "Bacterial small subunit ribosomal RNA", at positions 509 to 807 of the family's 1533-position model. The record is from RNAcentral.